UACGUAGGGUGCAAGCGUUGUCCGGAAUUAUUGGGCGUAAAGAGCUCGUAGGCGGUUUGUCGCGUCUGCUGUGAAAACUGGAGGCUCAACCUCCAGCCUGCAGUGGGUACGGGCAGACUAGAGUGCGGUAGGGAGAUUGGAAUUCCUGGUGUAGCGGUGGAAUGCGCAGAUAUCAGGAGGAACACCGGUGGCGAAGGCGGGUCUCUGGGCGAGUGAACU
This 219-nucleotide ribosomal RNA is filed under the name uncultured bacterium. RNAcentral's name for it is "partial 16S ribosomal RNA". It matches the Rfam family "Bacterial small subunit ribosomal RNA", at positions 524 to 741 of the family's 1533-position model. The record is from RNAcentral.